Molecule: ribosomal RNA, 460 nt
Filed under: uncultured bacterium
Lineage: Bacteria
Description: partial 16S ribosomal RNA
Rfam family: Bacterial small subunit ribosomal RNA
Source: RNAcentral
CCUACGGGUGGCAGCAGUGAGGAAUAUUGGUCAAUGGACGAGAGUCUGAACCAGCCAAGUAGCGUGAAGGAUGACUGCCCUAUGGGCUGUAAACUUCUUUUAUAAAGGAAUAAAACGAGGCACGUGUGCAUUUUUGCCUGUACUUUAUGCUUACGGAUCGGCUAACUCUGUGACAGCAGCCGCGGCAAUACGGAGGAUCCGAGCGUUAUCCGGAUUUAUUGGGUUUAAAGGUAGCGUAGAUGGGUUGGUAAGUCAGUGGUGAAAGUUUGCUGCUCAACCGUAAGAUUGCAAUUGAUACUGGCAGACUUGAGUACAGGUGAGGUGAGCGGAAUUCGUGGUGUAGCGGUGAAAUGCUUAGAUAUAACGAAGAACCCCGAUGGCGAAGGCAGCUUACUAAACUGUAACUGACACUGAGGCUCGAAAGUGUGGGGAUCAAACAGGAUUAGAUACCCCAGUAGUC